Rhincodon typus (whale shark) is the source of this 281-nucleotide long non-coding RNA. RefSeq lists it as uncharacterized. NCBI's taxonomy places the organism in Eukaryota, Metazoa, Chordata, Chondrichthyes, Orectolobiformes, Rhincodontidae. The transcript has 2 exons. The record is from RefSeq and is a predicted model, not a curated record.
AUCCUGUAAUCAUCGGAUGUAAACACUAUUUCUGUGAAAGCUGUGCUCUGCAGCAUUACUGCAAAUCCAAGCGUUGUUAUGUGUGUGAUGAGCAGACCAAUGGAGUCUUCAACCCAGCCAAAGAACUCAUGGCAAAACUGGCAAAGCAUAAAGCUGAGCACCUAUCAGACCAUUCCAACUCUGCAGAUGAAGUGGAGCCAACAGAAUAACUCUCCCCUCGAUCUGUGCAGAAUAUGUACCAAGCUUCAAUUUACUUUAGCAAAAUAAAGAUAUUUGUUUUA